This is a microRNA precursor of Oryza rufipogon (brownbeard rice), 207 nucleotides long. It matches the Rfam family "MIR812 microRNA precursor family". The record is from Rfam. NCBI's taxonomy places the organism in Eukaryota, Viridiplantae, Streptophyta, Magnoliopsida, Poales, Poaceae.
AAAAAAACAAACCUUGAGUUUCCAUGUCUAACGUUUGACUGUCCGUCUUAUAUGAAUUUUUUUUAUAAUUAGUAUUUUCAUUAUUGUUAGAUAAUAAAAUAUGAUUAAUACUUUAUGCGUGACUUAUCUUUUUAAUUUUUUUUAUAAUUUUUUUAAAUAAGACGGACGGUCAAACGUUGUACACGGAAACCCAUGUUUGGUUUUUUU